RNAcentral lists this small nuclear RNA (22 nucleotides) under Arabidopsis thaliana (thale cress). RNAcentral's name for it is "snRNA_10839". The record is from RNAcentral. Lineage: Eukaryota; Viridiplantae; Streptophyta; Magnoliopsida; Brassicales; Brassicaceae.
AUAUCCCAAUAAAAUCUUAGAG